UACGGGAGGCAGCAGUAGGGAAUCUUCCGCAAUGGGSGAAAGCCUGACGGAGCAACGCCGCGUGAGUGAUGAAGGGUUUCGGCUCGUAAAACUCUGUUAUUAGGGAAGAACAAAUGUGUAAGUAACUGUGCACAUCUUGACGGUACCUAAUCAGAAAGCCACGGCUAACUACGUGCCAGCAGCCGCGGUAA
This 191-nucleotide ribosomal RNA is filed under the name uncultured bacterium. RNAcentral's name for it is "partial 16S ribosomal RNA". It matches the Rfam family "Bacterial small subunit ribosomal RNA", at positions 340 to 523 of the family's 1533-position model. The record is from RNAcentral.